ACGAACGCUGACGGCGUGCUUAACACAUGCAAGUCGAACGGUGAAGCGCCUUCCUUUUUGGUGGGUGUGGAUGAGUGGCGAACGGGUGAGUAACACGUGAGUAACCUGCCCCCUUCUUCUGGAUAACCGCAUGAAAGUGUGGCUAAUACGGGAUAUUCUGGGUCUGUCGCAUGAUGGGUCUGGGAAAGAUAUUGUUUCGGUGGGGGGUGGGCUCGCGGCCUAUCAGCUUGUUGGUGGGGUGAUGGCCUACCAAGGCGGUGACGGGUAGCCGGCCUGAGAGGGUGGACGGUCACACUGGGACUGAGACACGGCCCAGACUCCUACGGGAGGCAGCAGUGGGGAAUAUUGCACAAUGGGCGCAAGCCUGAUGCAGCGACGCCGCGUGAGGGAUGGAGGCCUUCGGGUUGUGAACCUCUUUCGCCAGUGAAGCAGGCCUGCCUCGUUUGUGGGUGGGUUGACGGUAGCUGGAUAAGAAGCGCCGGCUAACUACGUG
RNAcentral lists this ribosomal RNA (493 nucleotides) under uncultured bacterium. Its description in RNAcentral is "partial 16S ribosomal RNA". It matches the Rfam family "Bacterial small subunit ribosomal RNA", at positions 29 to 507 of the family's 1533-position model. The record is from RNAcentral.